Molecule: ribosomal RNA, 643 nt
Filed under: uncultured Actinomycetes bacterium
Lineage: Bacteria; Bacillati; Actinomycetota; Actinomycetes
Description: bacterial SSU rRNA
Rfam family: Bacterial small subunit ribosomal RNA
Source: RNAcentral
CGCGGCCUAUCAGCUUGUUGGUGGGGUGAUGGCCCACCAAGGCGACGACGGGUAGCCGGCCUGAGAGGGCGACCGGCCACACUGGGACUGAGACACGGCCCAGACUCCUACGGGAGGCAGCAGUGGGGAAUAUUGCACAAUGGGCGCAAGCCUGAUGCAGCGACGCCGCGUGGGGGAUGAAGGCCUUCGGGUUGUAAACCUCUUUCAGCAGGGAAGAAGCGCAAGUGACGGUACCUGCAGAAGAAGCACCGGCUAACUACGUGCCAGCAGCCGCGGUAAUACGUAGGGUGCAAGCGUUGUCCGGAUUUAUUGGGCGUAAAGAGCUCGUAGGCGGUUUGUCGCGUCUGCUGUGAAGACUCGGGGCUUAACCCCGGGCCUGCAGUGGGUACGGGCAGACUAGAGUGCGGUAGGGGAGACUGGAAUUCCUGGUGUAGCGGUGAAAUGCGCAGAUAUCAGGAGGAACACCGGUGGCGAAGGCGGGUCUCUGGGCCGUAACUGACGCUGAGGAGCGAAAGCAUGGGUAGCGAACAGGAUUAGAUACCCUGGUAGUCCAUGCCGUAAACGUUGGGCGCUAGGUGUGGGGCUCAUUCCACGAGCUCCGUGCCGCAGCAAACGCAUUAAGCGCCCCGCCUGGGGAGUACGG